This 275-nucleotide unclassified non-coding RNA is filed under the name Hevea brasiliensis (rubber tree). The record is from RNAcentral. Lineage: Eukaryota; Viridiplantae; Streptophyta; Magnoliopsida; Malpighiales; Euphorbiaceae.
CUCUUUCUUGUCUUUCUUGUUCCCGAGGGAAACGGAGGAAGUGGUGGAGGCGAACAAGCGCCGGCGAGGCAGUGGGGGUGGAGAGGGGAGGAGGAAGCGGAGGCAGCGUGUACAGAGGCCACAGAGUUCGCUCAUUAUCAUUUUGUAUGGAAGAGAUUAUUGAUAACAGACAGAUAGAAAAAUGGGCUUCAGCGGCUGAAGCUGUCCACUCGAAAAUGGACGGUGAGGUCGAAAGCCAGUUGAAGCAGAGGAGGCACGCUAAGGUUUAAGGUGAG